GCAUUGGGAACUGCCAGGCUGGUGUGCCGGAGAGGCAGGCGGAAUUCCUAGUGUAGCGGUGAAAUGCGUAGAUAUUAGGAGGAACACCAGUGGCGAAGGCGGCUUACUGGACUGUAACUGACGUUGAGGCUCGAAAGCGUGGGGAGCAAAC
This 151-nucleotide ribosomal RNA is filed under the name uncultured bacterium. Its description in RNAcentral is "partial 16S ribosomal RNA". It matches the Rfam family "Bacterial small subunit ribosomal RNA", at positions 623 to 773 of the family's 1533-position model. The record is from RNAcentral.